GACGAACGCUGGCGGCGUGCUUAACACAUGCAAGUCGAGCGGUAAGGCCUCUUCGGGGGUACCCGAGCGGCGAACGGGUGAGUAACACGUGGGUGACCUGCCCUCAGCUCUGGGAUAAGCCUGGGAAACUGGGUCUAAUACCUGAUAUGACCUUUCCUCGCAUGGGGUUUGGUGGAAAGUUUUUUCGGCUGGGGAUGGGCCCGCGGCCUAUCAGCUUGUUGGUUGGGUGAUGGCCUACCAAGGCGACGACGGGUAGCCGGCCUGAGAGGGCGACCGGCCACACUGGGACUGAGACACGGCCCAGACUCCUACGGGAGGCAGCAGUGGGGAAUAUUGCGCAAUGGGCGGAAGCCUGACGCAGCGACGCCGCGUGGGGGAUGACGGCCUUCGGGUUGUAAACCUCUUUCGACCCCGACGAAUUUGGACGGUAGGGGUAGAAGAAGCACCGGCCAACUACGUG
Molecule: ribosomal RNA, 460 nt
Filed under: uncultured bacterium
Lineage: Bacteria
Description: partial 16S ribosomal RNA
Rfam family: Bacterial small subunit ribosomal RNA
Source: RNAcentral